This 350-nucleotide unclassified non-coding RNA is filed under the name Melitaea cinxia (Glanville fritillary). Its description in RNAcentral is "misc RNA ENSMCXG00005003370.1". Lineage: Eukaryota; Metazoa; Arthropoda; Insecta; Lepidoptera; Nymphalidae. The record is from RNAcentral.
AUUUAUAUUUUAUUUGAAACAAGAUUAAGUGAAACUGAACUUUUUUAUACAAUGGACCUUUAUGCACCAGGUUCUUCUGGGUUAACUGUUUUAUCAAGACACAGUAUAUAUAUGAUGACUAAGAACAUAAAUGAGAAGAGUUUUAGCGAAAAAAUAGAUAAGGUACAAGAAAUAAUAAUAAAUAAAUACAGUUUAAAUAGUAAGGAAAGGAAAACAUUUAUCCAUUAAAUUUUCAAAGCUAAAGUCGGAAAUGAAGUCACGGUGGAUAACUGCAAAAAGAACAGAAGAUAAAUUUUUGAAAAUGAAUCGAGAUUGACUGCAAGGGACAAUAAACGUCGCGACGUUUGCUA